This 812-nucleotide ribosomal RNA is filed under the name uncultured bacterium. RNAcentral's name for it is "bacterial SSU rRNA". It matches the Rfam family "Bacterial small subunit ribosomal RNA", at positions 636 to 1447 of the family's 1533-position model. The record is from RNAcentral.
UNUGACUUGAGUGCAGAAGGGGAGAGUGGAAUNCCAUGUGUAGCGGUGGAAUGCGUAGAUAUAUGGAGGAACACCAGUGGCGAAAGCGGCUCUCUGGUCUGUCACUGACGCUGAGGCCCGAAAGCGUGGGUAGCGAACAGGAUUAGAUACCCUGGUAGUCCACGCCGUAAACGAUGAGUGCUAGGUGUUAGGCCCUUUCCGGGGCUUAGUGCCGGAGCUAACGCAAUAAGCACUCCGCCUGGGGAGUACGACCGCAAGGUUGAAACUCAAAGGAAUUGACGGGGGCCCGCACAAGCGGUGGAGCAUGUGGUUUAAUUCGAAGCAACGCGAAGAACCUUACCAGGUCUUGACAUCCCGAUGCUAUUCUUAGAGAUAGGAAGUUACUUCGGUACAUCGGAGACAGGUGGUGCAUGGUUGUCGUCAGCUCGUGUCGUGAGAUGUUGGGUUAAGUCCCGCAACGAGCGCAACCCUUAUUGUUAGUUGCCAUCAUUAAGUUGGGCACUCUAGCGAGACUGCCGGUAAUAAACCGGAGGAAGGUGGGGAUGACGUCAAAUCAUCAUGCCCCUUAUGACCUGGGCUACACACGUGCUACAAUGGUCGGUACAACGAGUUGCGAGCCGGUGACGGCAAGCUAAUCUCUGAAAGCCGAUCUCAGUUCGGAUUGGAGGCUGCAACUCGCCUCCAUGAAGUCGGAAUCGCUAGUAAUCGCGGAUCAGCACGCCGCGGUGAAUACGUUCCCGGGCCUUGUACACACCGCCCGUCACACCACGAGAGUUUGUAACACCCGAAGUCGGUGAGGUAACCUUUUAGGG